AGAGUUUGAUCAUGGCUCAGAACGAACGCUGGCGGCAGGCCUAACACAUGCAAGUCGAACGCUCGUAGCAAUACGAGAGUGGCAGACGGCUGAGUAACACGUGGGAACCUUCCCUAUGGUUCGGAAUAGCUCAGGGAAACUUGAGGUAAUACAGGAUAAGCCCUUACGGGGAAAGAUUUAUCGCCAUUGGAUGGGCCCGCGCCGGAUUAGCUAGUUGGUGAGGUAACGGCUCACCAAGGCGACGAUCCGUAGCUGGUCUGAGAGGAUGAUCAGCCACACUGGGACUGAGACACGGCCCAGACUCCUACGGGAGGCAGCAGUGGGGAAUAUUGGACAAUGGGCGCAAGCCUGAUCCAGCCAUGCCGCGUGAGUGACGAAGGCCUUAGGGUUGUAAAGCUCUUUUGGCGGGGAAGAUAAUGACGGUACCCGCAGAAUAAGCUCCGGCUAACUUCGUGCCAGCAGCCGCGGUA
This 470-nucleotide ribosomal RNA is filed under the name uncultured Pseudomonadota bacterium. RNAcentral's name for it is "bacterial SSU rRNA". It matches the Rfam family "Bacterial small subunit ribosomal RNA", at positions 8 to 522 of the family's 1533-position model. Lineage: Bacteria; Pseudomonadati; Pseudomonadota. The record is from RNAcentral.